UACGUAGGGGGCAAGCGUUGUCCGGAUUUAUUGGGCGUAAAGAGCGUGUAGGCGGUCAGGUAGGUCCGUUGUGAAAACUCGAGGCUCAACCUCGAGACGCCGAUGGAAACCAUCUGACUAGAGUCCGGAAGAGGAGAGUGGAAUUCCUGGUGUAGCGGUGAAAUGCGCAGAUAUCAGGAAGAACACCCGUGGCGAAGGCGGCUCUCUGGUACGUGACUGACGCUGAGACGCGAAAGCGUGGGGAGCGAACAGG
This 253-nucleotide ribosomal RNA is filed under the name uncultured bacterium. RNAcentral describes it as "partial 16S ribosomal RNA". It matches the Rfam family "Bacterial small subunit ribosomal RNA", at positions 524 to 776 of the family's 1533-position model. The record is from RNAcentral.